RNAcentral lists this ribosomal RNA (429 nucleotides) under Chloroflexota bacterium. Its description in RNAcentral is "Chloroflexi bacterium partial 16S ribosomal RNA". It matches the Rfam family "Bacterial small subunit ribosomal RNA", at positions 355 to 776 of the family's 1533-position model. Lineage: Bacteria; Bacillati; Chloroflexota. The record is from RNAcentral.
UGGGGAAUAUUGCACAAUGGGCGCAAGCCUGAUGCAGCCAUGCCGCGUGUAUGAAGAAGGCCUUCGGGUUGUAAAGUACUUUCAGUCGGGAGGAAGGUGGUAAGGUUAAUAACCUUAUCAAUUGACGUUACCGACAGAAGAAGCACCGGCUAACUCCGUGCCAGCAGCCGCGGUAAUACGGAGGGUGCAAGCGUUAAUCGGAAUUACUGGGCGUAAAGCGCACGCAGGCGGUUGAUUGAGUCAGAUGUGAAAUCCCCGGGCUUAACCCGGGAAUUGCAUCUGAUACUGGUCAGCUAGAGUCUUGUAGAGGGGGGUAGAAUUCCAUGUGUAGCGGUGAAAUGCGUAGAGAUGUGGAGGAAUACCGGGGGCGAAGGCGGCCCCCUGGACAAAGACUGACGCUCAGGUGCGAAAGCGUGGGGAGCAAACAGG